AUUGAACGCUGGCGGCAUGCCUUACACAUGCAAGUCGAACGGCAGCACGGGAGCAAUCCUGGUGGCGAGUGGCGAACGGGUGAGUAAUAUAUCGGAACGUGCCCAGUCUGGGGGAUAACGCAGCGAAAAGUUUGUGCUAAUACCGCAUACGAUCUAUGGAUGAAAGGCGGGGGAUCGCAAGACCUCGCGCGAUUGGAGCGGCCGAUAUCAGAUUAGGUUGUUGGUGAGGUAAAGCUCACCAAGCCUGCGAUCUGUAGCUGGUCUGAGAGGACGACCAGCCACACUGGAACUGAGACACGGUCCAGACUCCUACGGGAGGCAGCAGUGGGGAAUUUUGGACAAUGGACGAAAGUCUGAUCCAGCAAUGCCGCGUGCAGGACGAAGGCCUU
RNAcentral lists this ribosomal RNA (389 nucleotides) under uncultured bacterium. RNAcentral's name for it is "bacterial SSU rRNA". It matches the Rfam family "Bacterial small subunit ribosomal RNA", at positions 30 to 418 of the family's 1533-position model. The record is from RNAcentral.